UCAACUUUGCGACUAUUUGAGUGAAAAUUCAUAGUGUAGAGUGUUGAGUUUUUACUCCAUUAUCUAUACAAUCCAUAUCUGUGCUGGUUUUGGGCUCAAAAACAAACAAUUUAGUGUUUGAGUUUCAUUACCUUUCAAUAAACUUGCCAGUGUUUCUUAGUGCAUAAUUUCUUUCCACUUAAACCAAUAUUUGCACUUUCUGUUGCUGUCUGUUAGACAAUUAUGGCAUCACUAAGUCAACAAAAUGCAAUCUGUGAAGUUUAUGAUAAGGAAUUUUCCAGCACAUCUACCAGAAACAGGCAUUGGAAAAAGUUUCACCCUGGAUUUGUUGGGAAGGAACAAAUAAAACACAUUAUAUGUCCAAUGUGUACUAAUGAUAUCCAGACAUUUUCAUAUUUUAACUGUUUAAACAAACAUUUGCUUGAUAUUCACCAUAUAACUGUCAAAGAAUCAAUUUUAAAUUUUAGGAAUUUUGAAGAAUUGACAUCUUGGAGGGCACAAGAUAAUAGAGAAGUAGAUUAUGCUUGUCAGACCCGAAACAAGUUUAAGAAUUGGGAAGAACACAUAUUUUACAAUUGCAACAGGAGCGAUAUCAGAGGAUUUAAUAGCGCGUGCAAAGUGAGAAGUCUGGGGGAAGCAUUUGCAUUCAAGGAACAUGUCAACAAAACCAAACUCAAAUAGCUAUCAGCAUAAAAUUGUAAUAGAAGCCCAUAACAAAGCCGAAAAAAUGAAUGGUAAGGUAGAAUUUUUAGAAUUUGAAAAAUUUAAAGUCAAAGUGUUUCGGUAAGUGGUAAGUUCUAUGUUGUGUCUUGUCAUGAACUAUAUGAUGAGCAAUGUCGCACUGGAUACUGUAACAUCUGUAAAAUAUGUUUUCAUAAAUACAGAUGUGAGUGUCCAGAAAAUUCUGUUAAAACAGUACUUUGUAAACAUAUACAUGCUGUAGGCUGUAGCCAUUUUUGAGCAGAGGAGCGAGUUUGUUGUAGGUUCCCCAACUGUGAGUGAAGAGGAUAAAGUUUUGUUUGUUGAUCAACCCACAACUAGCCAAAUCAAUUAUCAGGAGGAUGUAAACCAUUUUAUUCAGGAGAGUUCAAAAAUGAAAGUCAAUAGUUCUGCAAUGGACUUUGAAGAAAAUCGAGAAGUAGUUUGAGUAAAAUAUAAGUUACAUUUUUAUUACAUCGUUUAUACUUAUUUUAAGAUUGCAUUGCAAGAAAUUUGUAGCUAUGGUAGAAGUUUAGAUAAAAAUGCAUUUGCCAGAUUUAUGGCUGUAAUCAACAAAUUUAAAAAUAAAAAAGUGGACGAAGAAAAUUCUCAGGGCAUUGAAAAGAAAAGAAAAAUUGAAAAACAAAUGUACUAUCAAAAUAAAAAAUAAGCUAGAUUUCUUUGUGUAUUUAAUGGCUAGAUAAUAUUUGAAUUGUAGCUAUUUUUUUAUGUUUGUAUAGCUGUGAAGUUAACAAAAAUAGGAUGUGGUUUGGAAGGUUUUCGUGCAGGUUUCAAAUUGUAAAAACAAAUUUCAAGACGUCAUAAUGGUUUAAAUAACGGUGUUGGUUUCUGUAUAACUAUUUUUAUAUCUUUUAUUUUAAGACUAAAAUGUUAGCUUAUUUUGUAUGUUAAUAUUCAACUAAUCAUUUUCUACAUUUUGUUUGCUAUGUUUUUAAUAUUUUUUAGGGUGCAGAAAAGUUAAUUGGAUUAACUUGAAAUUGACACGGAACGAGGGGGAAGAUCCUCUGUGAGUAUAUAUUUAUUAAUUAAAAUGUAUACAGAGCAGUAAUUUAUUUUCAUGUUACUAUUGAAUGGAAGUUUGAAUGGUUUGGGCUGUAUAUACAUGAGCAUCAGAGAUGACAAAUAAGCUAAAGAAGUGCGAGUCUACAUACUAUAUACCAGAUUAAUACAUUUAGCCUCUUUGCAUUUAAUUUUGAGGUUGUUGAUAUUAAAAAUACCAUAAAUUAUUAUAUUUAAAUAACAAAUAAAUUUAUAGAUUUUUUAUUAUUUGAAAUAAACAAAGUUAAAAUAUAA
Molecule: RNA transcript, 2013 nt
Organism: Anthonomus grandis grandis
Lineage: Eukaryota; Metazoa; Arthropoda; Insecta; Coleoptera; Curculionidae
Exons: 4
Source: RefSeq, a predicted model, not a curated record